GCUGGGUGUGGUGGCGGGCGCCUGUAAUCCCAGCAACUUGGGAGGCUGAGGCAGGAGAAUCACCUGAACCCAGGAGGCAGAGGUUGCAGUGAGCCAAGAUCAAACCAUUGUACUCUAGCCUGGGCAACAGAGUAAGACUCCANNNNNNNNNNUGGAGUCUUACUCUGUUGCCCAGGCUAGAGUACAAUGGUUUGAUCUUGGCUCACUGCAACCUCUGCCUCCUGGGUUCAGGUGAUUCUCCUGCCUCAG
This 249-nucleotide signal recognition particle RNA is filed under the name Chlorocebus sabaeus (green monkey). RNAcentral describes it as "Metazoan signal recognition particle RNA". It matches the Rfam family "Metazoan signal recognition particle RNA". From Rfam's summary of the family: The signal recognition particle (SRP) is a universally conserved ribonucleoprotein. It is involved in the co-translational targeting of proteins to membranes. The record is from Rfam by way of RNAcentral. Lineage: Eukaryota; Metazoa; Chordata; Mammalia; Primates; Cercopithecidae.